Molecule: ribosomal RNA, 463 nt
Filed under: uncultured bacterium
Lineage: Bacteria
Description: partial 16S ribosomal RNA
Rfam family: Bacterial small subunit ribosomal RNA
Source: RNAcentral
ACGCACGCUGGCGGCGUGCUUCACACAUGCCAGUCGAACGGUAAGGCCCCAGCUUGCUGGGGUACACGAGUGGCGAACGGGUGAGUAACACGUGGGUGACCUGCCCCGCACUUCGGGAUAAGCCUGGGAAACUGGGUCUAAUACCGGAUAGGACCGCACCGUGAGGGUGUGGUGGAAAGUUUUUCGGUGUGGGAUGGGCCCGCGGCCUAUCAGCUUGUUGGUGGGGUAAUGGCCUACCAAGGCGGCGACGGGUAGCCGGCCUGAGAGGGUGGACGGCCACAUUGGGACUGAGACACGGCCCAGACUCCUACGGGAGGCAGCAGUGGGGAAUAUUGCACAAUGGGCGGAAGCCUGAUGCAGCGACGCCGCGUGGGGGAUGACGGCCUUCGGGUUGUAAACUCCUUUCACCAUCGACGAAGGUUUUCUGACGGUAGAUGGAGAAGAAGCACCGGCUAACUACGUG